AACGAACGCUGGCGGCGGGCUUAACACAUGCAAGUCGAACGGAUCCUUCGGGAUUAUUCGCAGACGGGUGAGUAACGCGUCGGAACGUACACUUGGCUACGGAAUAACUCAGGGAAAGUUGAGCUAAUACCGAAUGGGCCCUACGAGGGCAAGAGUCAUCGAAAUAGGAUGGGCCCGCGUUGAAUUAGCUGGUUGGUUCGGUAAUGGCCUAUCACGGCGAGGCUGCAUAGCUGGGGUGAGAGGAUGGGCCGCCACACUCGGAGUGCGACACGGCCCAGAAUCCUACGCGAGGCAGGAGAGGGGAACAGUGCACAAUGGGGGCAAGGAUGAUCGAGCCAUGCUGGGUGAGUGAUGAAGGUCGUAGGAUUGUAAAGCUCGUUUAACGGUGAAGAUAAUGACGGUAGCCGGAGAAGAAGCCACGGCUAACUUCGUG
Molecule: ribosomal RNA, 433 nt
Filed under: uncultured bacterium
Lineage: Bacteria
Description: partial 16S ribosomal RNA
Rfam family: Bacterial small subunit ribosomal RNA
Source: RNAcentral